UAUAUAUAUAUAUAUAUAUGAGAGAUGUGUCACCAAAAUGAACACUGAUUUAUUGAUAGGACUUCUCAGAAACUGUAAUGUUCAGUUUCAAACCUCAAGAAUUUGAAAUUAGGUUGUCAUCCCCAAUGUCAUCCCCAAUGGAUUGGUUAAGAAAUACUUUCUGAACCAAUGCACCCUCUACUUACAAUUCUUUAACAUGUAGUGAUCCCUACAGGUCAGAAAUAUACUUUGCAGGACAGGGGGUGAACACAAGCUUAAAAGAACAAUAUGGGCUUUACAACUGUAGGAGACAGUUUGAUGUCAUCCAGUUUCUCUGAGUUCUCCACGUUCUCCCGCUGUUCAACACACCAAAAGUGUUUCUGCCUCAGACAGAAGCUGAAUGGGCUUCAAAUCCUAAUUUAUACAAUAUACCUGUCAUUAUCUAACAAUAAUUUUCACUCCUGCCACCCAACAAGAGGCAAAUAUUGUCUGAAGUUACUGUUUUUAAGUUGGAUAACAUAGGUAGGGUCUGGAUUCUGCGUUAACAUCACUGUUGUUGUUAUAAUGUCCUGCAGUGUUGUUCACAGAAUCUUCUUUUAGCUGACAAAUCUUUGACAUAAUACUCUUGGUUGCUCUAACUACAAAUCAAAAUUACCCGAUAUUGCCAAGUAAAUGGCAUCUUAAAUACUCUGAAUUGAAUAAGGCCAACAAAAGAACAUUAACACAUUUGUAAUGGAUUUCUUUGGGAAAGAAAGUAGUUGUAGUAGCCUAGACCAACCUCCCAUGGCAAUGUUUGGGCAGUCCUAUGCCAGUGAUUACAUUUUUGCUUUACUGAUUUACCGAUCCAGUCGGUGGGAUUUGUGGGGAAAUAACAAAGUUUUUUUUUUUAAACCUAAAACAUCCAGGGGGCUUUUGAGAAAGCACUCAGGGCUACACCCACGCCCACCUUACCCACAUGACCACGAUUUAACAUGUUCUAGCAAUGGCAUGUUACCAUUUUAGCAUUGGCAUUUAGCUGAAAAGCACCGCUGCUCACAGAGCUGCUAACGCGGCUGGAGACUCUUAGUCUUGUUUUCCUUCUCCCAACCUGUUGCCGUCUCAGUCCACUUGGUCUUUGACUCUAACUGCAUGAGAGCAAGAGAAGAGAUAUAACAGACUACAAUAAAGGUAAAUCUAGUGUUGGCUGACAACAAUGACUAAUGUUAACUCCAUACCCUGUAUUUUAAAGAAAGCACAUGUCUUUUUGUAAGCUGUCAUUUAAUACCGUACUAGCAGUCUUGGCCUACUGACAACACAGCAGCUUCUUCAGUUCUCUGACUGUCAUUGGUUCUAGUGUGCAUCAAACGCAGCUCUGUUUAUUUGGGUCAUAGAAAGAAGCACUGACAGCAGUUUGAAAUAAAAAGAGCAAACCUUUACUCCCACAUAUAUAUGUGCACUCCUCGUGGCAGAUCCAGGGUAAACUGAAUGACAUCAAACUGCCUUUAUAAACCUCUGUCAUCAUUUAAUGGCCCAGGAAACACUUAAGUAGUGGACGCUUAAGUAUGAGGGGCCACAUAGGCCAUAAUUCAUAACUUCCCUCUCGCAUUCACAAUUGUACCUCUCACAUUCACACAAAAGAGGUAUUAUUGUGAAUGGGAGAGGGAAAAUUGUGUAUGUGAGGUAAAAUUGGGAAUAUGAGAGGUGAAAUUUUGUAAGUGCGAGGGAAAAUUAUGAAUGUGAGGUAUUUUUUGUGUAUGUGAGAGGUAAAAUUGUUAAUGUGAGAGGUAAAUCUGUGUAUGUGAGAGGUACAAUUGUGAAUGUGAGGUAUUUUUGUGUGUGAUAGAUAAAGUUGUGAAUGUGAGAUGUAAAAUUGUGUAUGUAAGAGGUAAAACUGUGAAUGUGAGAGGUAAAAUUGUGAAUGUGAGAUUGUGAAUGUGAGAGGUAAAAUUGUGAAUGUGAGGUAUUUUUUGUGUGUGAGAGGUAAAGUUAUGAAUGUGAGAGGUAAAGUUGUGUACGUGAGAGGUAAAGUUGUGUAUGUGAGAGGUAAGAUAUGAAUUAUGGCCUAUACGGCCAAACAUACUUGAGGGUGCUGCCCAGCAACAUGUUGGGUUGGUGUUCUGUCAGGUUUCCAGGAAUUCAGAAGAUGUGAUUCACCGUUUUUUUGAUGCAUUUAAUCCAAAUGAUGAUUUGAUUCAGGUCUGCUGGAGUGUUGCAAGAUAUUAGAAAAUACCUGAUACUAUGGAAAGCAAUGUGGUCCAAAAUAGUGUAAUGUGUAAAACUUUGAGCACUUGUUUGUCGAAGGCCCAUCAUAUAAUAUAUAGUUGUGUCAUAUUUUAAAAUCCAGAGCAGGUAGACCUCAGGUGGACACACACACAACAUCACACCUGCCACACACUGAAACACAUUACACAUAUACAGUCACACAUAUCAUACAAAGAUGUCAAUGUCAAAACAAUGCAGGAGGUUUCUGUAGUUGUUUGAGAUGAGACAGAAGAAACCUCAGUCUGUAUCUCUUCCCCUACUUUGUCUUCAUUCCCCCGUUUAUUCUCAUUCAAUUGUAUUAUCUCCGUUCCACAGGGAAGCCGGAGCAUUAAACGACUAUUGACUGCCCCCCUCUCUAUUUGAGAUAUGCAAUAUGCUACAGUAGAUGUACAGUUAGAUGUAUGAGACUCGUAUAGAUAGACAAAUAUGGUGAGAGAAGAUUAUAUUUAUGAAUUCAUGUAUUAGAAUAAAAUGUCACUGAGAUUCAAAGGUCACUGAAAGGAUGAUGAUGUAUUCAUGUAUUCCAGAGUGUUGGAGUGUGCGUUUUCUCUUUUUCCCCUUUCCAUCUUCCCGGCCCGAUUUUCUUUCUCCAAAAUGCAUGUGAGUUUUUUAUUUUUAUUUUUUCUGUUAUCUUAAAUGUCAUUCUAGUGUCAUAUAAAAGUGAAAUAGCUUUUCAA
Centropristis striata (black sea bass) is the source of this 2897-nucleotide long non-coding RNA. RefSeq lists it as uncharacterized. The transcript is spliced from 2 exons. The record is from RefSeq and is a predicted model, not a curated record. Lineage: Eukaryota; Metazoa; Chordata; Actinopteri; Perciformes; Serranidae.